CCUACGGGUGGCUGCAGUGGGGAAUAUUGGACAAUGGGGGGAACCCUGAUCCAGCCAUGCCGCGUGUGUGAAGAAGGCCCUCGGGUUGUAAAGCACUUUCAGUGAGGAAGAACGCCUGGUGGUUAAUACCCAUCAGGAAAGACAUCACUCACAGAAGAAGCACCGGCUAACUCCGUGCCAGCAGCCGCGGUAAUACGGAGGGUGCGAGCGUUAAUCGGAAUUACUGGGCGUAAAGCGCGCGUAGGUGGCUUGAUAAGCCGGUUGUGAAAGCCCCGGGCUCAACCUGGGAACGGCAUCCGGAACUGUCCAGCUAGAGUGCAGGAGAGGAAGGUAGAAUUCCCGGUGUAGCGGUGAAAUGCGUAGAGAUCGGGAGGAAUACCAGUGGCGAAGGCGGCCUUCUGGACUGACACUGACACUGAGGUGCGAAAGCGUGGGUAGCAAACAGGAUUAGAUACCCGUGUAGUC
RNAcentral lists this ribosomal RNA (465 nucleotides) under Vreelandella stevensii. RNAcentral's name for it is "partial 16S ribosomal RNA". It matches the Rfam family "Bacterial small subunit ribosomal RNA", at positions 338 to 795 of the family's 1533-position model. Lineage: Bacteria; Pseudomonadati; Pseudomonadota; Gammaproteobacteria; Oceanospirillales; Halomonadaceae. The record is from RNAcentral.